ACAACUUUCAUAACAAAUAUAUAUGAAGAAGGAGUUUUGGGCUACCACUUAGAAAGGAAAUGCCUCAUUUGUCAACUCCCUCGACCGGAGACUUGGGGGACUCCUACCAUAUGCUACUGCACCUUUAUACUCAGAAGUCUCAUGACCACUCAGUGACUUGGAUUUUUCAAGUCUCCAAACGAGAAGUCUUCCUCACUCGGGAAAUUAAGGGAGCACUACCUCAACCUACAUGCUUCACUCACAAAGCUUCA
This 251-nucleotide long non-coding RNA is filed under the name Malus domestica (apple). RNAcentral's name for it is "long non-coding RNA (MDOM_LNC012044)". The record is from RNAcentral. Lineage: Eukaryota; Viridiplantae; Streptophyta; Magnoliopsida; Rosales; Rosaceae.